RNAcentral lists this ribosomal RNA (498 nucleotides) under uncultured bacterium. Its description in RNAcentral is "partial 16S ribosomal RNA". It matches the Rfam family "Bacterial small subunit ribosomal RNA", at positions 28 to 508 of the family's 1533-position model. The record is from RNAcentral.
GAUGAACGCUGGCGGCGUGCCUAAUACAUGCCAGUCGAGCGAACGGACGAGAAGCUUGCUUCUCUGAUGUUAGCGGCGGACGGGUGAGUAACACGUGGAUAACCUACCUAUAAGACUGGGAUAACUUCGGGAAACCGUAGCUAAUACCGGAUAAUAUUUUGAACCGCAUGGUUCAAAAGUGAAAGACGGUCUUGCUGUCACUUAUAGAUGGAUCCGCGCUGCAUUAGCUAGUUGGUAAGGUAACGGCUUACCAAGGCAACGAUGCAUAGCCGACCUGAGAGGGUGAUCGGCCACACUGGAACUGAGACACGGGCCAGACUCCUACGGGAGGCAGCAGUAGGGAAUCUUCCGCAAUGGGCGAAAGCCUGACGGAGCAACGCCGCGUGAGUGAUGAAGGUCUUCGGAUCGUAAAACUCUGUUAUUAGGGAAGAACAUAUGUGUAAGUAACUGUGCACAUCUUGACGGUACCUAAUCAGAAAGCCACGGCUAACUACGUGC